Molecule: non-coding RNA, 30 nt
Filed under: Mus musculus (house mouse)
Lineage: Eukaryota; Metazoa; Chordata; Mammalia; Rodentia; Muridae
Source: RNAcentral
UGAUAGGUCUAAAGCAUAAAGUAGGAGCUC